CCUACGGGGGGCAGCAGUGGGGAAUAUUGCACAAUGGGGGAAACCCUGAUGCAGCGACGCCGCGUGAGUGAAGAAGUAUUUCGGUAUGUAAAGCUCUAUCAGCAGGGAAGAAAAUGACGGUACCUGACCAAGAAGCCCCGGCUAACUACGUGCCAGCAGCCGCGGUAAUACGUAGGGGGCAAGCGUUAUCCGGAUUUACUGGGUGUAAAGGGAGCGUAGACGGUUGUGCAAGUCAGAAGUGAAAGCCCGGGGCUCAACCCCGGGACUGCUUUGGAAACUGUGAAACUGGAGUGCAGGAGAGGUAAGCGGAAUUCCUGGUGUAGCGGUGAAAUGCGUAGAUAUCAGGAGGAACACCAGUGGCGAAGGCGGCUUACUGGACUGUAACUGACGUUGAGGCUCGAAAGCGUGGGGAGCAAACAGGAUUAGAUACCCCAGUAGUC
This 440-nucleotide ribosomal RNA is filed under the name uncultured bacterium. RNAcentral describes it as "partial 16S ribosomal RNA". It matches the Rfam family "Bacterial small subunit ribosomal RNA", at positions 338 to 795 of the family's 1533-position model. The record is from RNAcentral.